GAUGAACGCUGGCGGCGUGCCUAAUACAUGCAAGUCGAGCGAACAGACGAGGAGCUUGCUCCUCUGACGUUAGCGGCGGACGGGUGAGUAACACGUGGAUAACCUACCUAUAAGACUGGGAUAACUUCGGGAAACCGGAGCUAAUACCGGAUAAUAUAUUUAACCGCAUGGUUAAAUAGUUAAAGACGGUUUUGCUGUCACUUAUAGAUGGAUCCGCGCCGCAUUAGCUAGUUGGUAAGGUAACGGCUUACCAAGGCAACGAUGCGUAGCCGACCUGAGAGGGUGAUCGGCCACACUGGAACUGAGACACGGUCCAGACUCCUACGGGAGGCAGCAGUAGGGAAUCUUCCGCAAUGGGCGAAAGCUUGACGGAGCAACGCCGCGUGAGUGAUGAAGGUCUUCGGAUCGUAAAACUCUGUUAUUAGGGAAGAACAAAUGUGUAAGUAACUAUGCACGUCUUGAUGGUACCUAAUCAGAAAGCCACGGCUAACUACGUG
This 497-nucleotide ribosomal RNA is filed under the name uncultured bacterium. RNAcentral describes it as "partial 16S ribosomal RNA". It matches the Rfam family "Bacterial small subunit ribosomal RNA", at positions 28 to 507 of the family's 1533-position model. The record is from RNAcentral.